UACGUAGGUGGCAAGCGUUGUCCGGAUUUACUGGGCGUAAAGGGCGUGCAGGCGGUUUGUUAAGUGCAGGGUGAAAGCUCCCGGCUCAACUGGGAGAGGUCCUUGCAUACUGGCGAACUCGAGGGAGGCAGAGGAAAGUGGAAUUCCCGGUGUAGUGGUGAUAUGCGUAGAUAUCGGGAGGAACACCUGUGGCGAAGGCGGCUUUCUGGGCCGAUACUGACACUGAGGAGCGAAAGCGUGGGGAGCGAACAGG
This 253-nucleotide ribosomal RNA is filed under the name uncultured bacterium. Its description in RNAcentral is "partial 16S ribosomal RNA". It matches the Rfam family "Bacterial small subunit ribosomal RNA", at positions 524 to 776 of the family's 1533-position model. The record is from RNAcentral.